RNAcentral lists this ribosomal RNA (467 nucleotides) under uncultured bacterium. Its description in RNAcentral is "partial 16S ribosomal RNA". It matches the Rfam family "Bacterial small subunit ribosomal RNA", at positions 28 to 506 of the family's 1533-position model. The record is from RNAcentral.
GACGAACGCUGGCGGCGUGCUUAACACAUGCAAGUCGAACGGAAAGGCCCUGCUUUUGUGGGGUGCGCGAGUGGCGAACGGGUGAGUAACACGUGAGUAACCUGCCCUUGACUGUGGGAUAACUUCAGGAAACUGGGGCUAAUACCGGAUAGGAGCUCCUGCUGCAGGGUGGGGGUUGGAAAGUUUCGGCGGUUGGGGAUGGACUCGCGGCUUAUCAGCUUGUUGGUGGGGGAGUGGCUUACCAAGGCUUUGGCGGGUAUCGGGCCUGAGAGGGUGACCGGCCACAUUGGGACUGAGAUACGCCCCAGACUCCUACGGGAGGGAGCGGUGGGGAAUAUUGCACAAUGGGCGGAAGCGUGAUGCAGCAACGCCGCGCGCGGGAGGACGGCCUUCGGGUGGUAAGCCGCUUUCGCCUGUGACGAAGCGUGAGUGACGGUAAUGGGUAAAGAAGCACCGGCUAACUACGU